This 502-nucleotide ribosomal RNA is filed under the name Uroteuthis chinensis. RNAcentral describes it as "partial 16S ribosomal RNA". It matches the Rfam family "Bacterial large subunit ribosomal RNA", at positions 1850 to 2597 of the family's 2925-position model. The record is from RNAcentral. Lineage: Eukaryota; Metazoa; Mollusca; Cephalopoda; Myopsida; Loliginidae.
GAGUUGGGCCUGCUCGGUGAAACGUUUUAACAGCUGCGGUAUUUUAACUGUACUAAGGUAGCAUAAUAAUUUGCCUUAUAAUUUGAGGCUAGAAUGAAUGGUUUGACGAAGGUUAAUCUGUCUCUGCUUUAUUUUUUAGAAAUUAAUUUUCAUAGUGAAAAAGCUUGAAUUUCUUAAGGGGACGAGAAGACCCUACUGAGCUUAUAAUUUUAUUAUCACAUAUAUUUAUGUAUAAUGUGCUAUAUAAAUUUUAAUUGGGGUGAUUAAGGAAUAAUAUAGCUAUUUUAUAACUUCCUUAGAUAUUAUAUUGUUGAAUUAAGUAACCGAUUAGUUAAUAGAAUUGUAUUAUGUAUUGCUUAUAAUAUAGUUACCAUAGGGAUAACAGCGUAAUUUACUUAGAGAGUUCUUAUUGAAAAGUAAGAUUGCGACCUCGAUGUUGGAUUAAAGUGACCUUAAGGUGCAGAAGCUUUAUGAGGUAAAUCUGUUCGAUUUUUAAAACUUU